This 253-nucleotide ribosomal RNA is filed under the name uncultured bacterium. Its description in RNAcentral is "partial 16S ribosomal RNA". It matches the Rfam family "Bacterial small subunit ribosomal RNA", at positions 524 to 776 of the family's 1533-position model. The record is from RNAcentral.
UACGUAGGGUGCGAGCGUUGUCCGGAAUUAUUGGGCGUAAAGGGCUCGUAGGCGGUUUGUCGCGUCAGGAGUGAAAACUCGGGGCUUAACCCCGAGCCUGCUUCUGAUACGGGCAGACUAGAGGUAUGCAGGGGAGAACGGAAUUCCUGGUGUAGCGGUGAAAUGCGCAGAUAUCAGGAAGAGCACCCGUGGCUAAGGCGGCUCUCUAGUACGGUACUGACGCUGAGACGCGAAAGCGUGGGGAGCGAACAGG